UCUCUCGUAGCUCAGUGGUCAGAACAUUGGUGCGUAAAGCCAAAGCUCCCGGGUUCGUUUCCCGGCGAGGGUG
This is a non-coding RNA of Agrilus planipennis (emerald ash borer), 73 nucleotides long. Lineage: Eukaryota; Metazoa; Arthropoda; Insecta; Coleoptera; Buprestidae. The record is from Rfam.